Long non-coding RNA from Acinonyx jubatus (cheetah), 925 nucleotides. RefSeq lists it as uncharacterized. The transcript is spliced from 3 exons. The record is from RefSeq and is a predicted model, not a curated record. Lineage: Eukaryota; Metazoa; Chordata; Mammalia; Carnivora; Felidae.
CAGCCUAAAAGUGCUUUUGUUUGACCAAUGCAAUCUUUUCAACUUUCACUUGCUAACAAUAGCUGAUUGCUUUCAUCAAAAACUCAUGUCACAAUAACUAUGCACUAAAUUCCUAACCUGGUUGAUAGUUGCCUAUGAAGAGCUAUUGGAAGUGAAACAACCCUGCUGUGGAAUGUUUUUGUUUUUGCAUACUAUAAAGAGGAGCCAUCAAAGGAUCCUGCUACCCCAUCCUAGAAGGAGAAUGGACAAAUAUUAACAUUCUGACUACCAACUGUCCAGUUGUCUCUUAAAGGAAUGCCUCGAAGAUUCUUCUAGAAAAGGGGAAAGCAGACACCAAAGAGGUGCACAUAUAAAAGCAUCUCCUUCAUCCUGAAUCUGAUAUUCAAAUGGCUGAUAAGAAGAAUGCUGAAGAGAGAAAUGUCAGUAUUCUCAUACACAGAAGAGAUUUAAUUUUAUUUCUAAGUAAAAAAGAUUAAAAUCUUUAAAAAAAAAAAAAGUAUUGUAUGUCCCUGACCAUUUAAAGAAUCUAAACCUAACGUCAAAAUCAGCAGUCUUUCAUUGCCUCUGUUUUACCUAACUCACAGAUUCUCUACCCUAACCCUAAGAUUCUCCACUAGAAUUACCUGGGGACACUUUUAAAUAUUACAGAUGCAGGCCUACUCAGAGACUGCAUUGAUAUAAGUGGGACCAAGUCAUCUAAGAGUCUUCAAUUCUCAUUACAACUACCUUUUAGGAAUGGUAAUUAAAGCAUUGUCUGUAAUAGGGAGAGACUGAAAAUGAUUUAAAUAUCCUUAAAAUGUUACUGUUUUCACAGCAGAUGUAAUGAGACAGAAAAAUACUGACAACAUAUCAUAGUAUGAAAAGCUCAGGUUUACAGGAAAGAACAACAAGCAAAUGGUCCUUCAUAAAGUAGAUGUAUUAAAGU